RNAcentral lists this long non-coding RNA (5331 nucleotides) under Jatropha curcas. RNAcentral's name for it is "long non-coding RNA (JCUR_LNC002133)". Lineage: Eukaryota; Viridiplantae; Streptophyta; Magnoliopsida; Malpighiales; Euphorbiaceae. The record is from RNAcentral.
AAAAAUGACUGUAAAACAGCCCCCAGGACUUGAGCCCGAAGCAGAUACUCUGCUCAAUACAACAAAAGAGAAUAAAGAUGCCCUGUACAUGAUUACUGCUAACAUAUAUAUAGAAUCAUUCUUAACAAACAUGCUGAGCUGUCUCAAUCCCUUCCUUGCUGCACACCACUCCCCUUUGUUGUAGAUUUGUUGUAGAUUUAUUCCUUCUAUAAUAAACCAAAAACGGUUUUGCACUUGAUGACGUGGCAUUCUUAUCAUUACCGCCCCCUUCUGAAAAAGCCUUGUCCUCAAGGCUGAAAUUCAGAAAUUGUGCCUUCAGGUCAGACUCGUUUAUCCAAGUUGCAUCUGUUUCGCUUUGCCCCUGCCACUGAAUUAAUACCUGAGGUAUUGGGCCUGAAGUGGAGUGCAGAGAUCGUCGCUGGCAAACUUUAUAGGGCUCAACCAAUGGUCCUGCUUCUAUGUUGAGACCAUCCGGCAAUUGUGCAAUGACUGGAUGGUUGCCAAUUACCCUCUUGAGCUGAGACACAUGGAAUACAGGGUGUAUUUUGGAUCCCAAAGGCAGUUGGAGCUUAUAAGCAACAACCCCUACCUUCUUGAGUACUUCGAAGGGUCUGUAGAAUCUAGUAGCUAGCUUGUCAUUGACUCUAUUGGCUACGGACUGCUGCCUAUGUGGCCUGAGUUUAAGGAAGACCCUUUCCCCAAUGGAGAACUGAACAUCACGGCGUUUGGGGUUAGCAUAUUUGGUCAUCAGCUGCUGAGCUCUAUGUAGAUUGUAGCAGAGCUGCUGAAGUAUCUUAUCCCUAUCUUGGAGGUGGUGGGAAAGAGCUUCAACACGAGUUUCACCCGGUAGGAACCGCUGAAGGGUGGGGGGUAGCCUGCCAUAAACUAGUUCAAAUGGUGUUUUCUUAGCAGCUCCUUGAUAAUUGGUGUUAUACCAAUAUUCUGCCCAGCAAAGCCACUUAGCCCAUGACUUCGGAUGCUCGCAGGAGAAACACCGGAGGUAGGAUUCCAAGCUGCGGUUUAGCACCUCUGUCUGACCAUCACUUUGGGGGUGAUAAGUGGUGCUGAAGGACAGAGUAGUACCUUGCAAGCGGAAGAGUUCAGUCCAAAAGUUACUUAGGAACAAUGGGUCGCGGUCACUGACAAUAGUUACCGGAACACCAUGGAGUCUCACAAUCUCCCUCAUAAACAGAGUGGCUACGGAUGCAGCUGUAAAAGGGUGUCGAAGGCCGAGAAAGUGAGCAUAUUUUGACAAUCUAUCAACCACCACUAAGAUGCAGUCCACCCCUUGGGACUUUGGAAGGCCUGUGAUGAAAUCAAGAGCUAUGUCCUCCCAUAUUUGGCUUGGAACUGGAAGUGGCUGUAACAGACCCGCCGGCGACUUAGCCUCAUAUUUGUGUGUUUGACAGAUCAAGCAAGCAGCGACAAACUUCUUUAUGGUGCCCAUCAUACCCGGCCAAUAGAAAUUGGAGGCAACCCUUUUGUAAGAUCUAUAAGCUCCUGAAUGUCCGCCUAACGGAGUAAAAUGAAACUCUUCUAUGAUCUUGGGUAUCCACUUAGAGGAGGGAGGUAGCACCNNNNNNNNNNNNNNNNNNNNNNNNNNNNNNNNNNNNNNNNNNNNNNNNNNNNNNNNNNNNNNNNNNNNNNNNNNNNNNNNNNNNNNNNNNNNNNNNNNNNNNNNNNNNNNNNNNNNNNNNNNNNNNNNNNNNNNNNNNNNNNNNNNNNNNNNNNNNNNNNNNNNNNNNNNNNNNNNNNNNNNNNUAUUCAAUAUUGAAAUUGUAUCCCAUGAGCUUGGCUAACCAGUAUUGUUGGGCUGGUGUGGACACAUUUUGUUGAAGAAGGUGCAUAAGGCUCUUUUGAUCAGUCCUCACUGUAAAACACCUCCCAAUUAGGUAUGGCCUCCAAUGCCGGAUUGCUAGAACAAGGGCCGUCAACUCAUUUUCAUAAGCAGACCUGGACAUGGCUAGGUCUCCGGUAGCCUUGCUGAAAUAAGCAAGAGGUCUGUUAUCUUGAUGGAGGACAACCCCAAUCCCAGACUUAGAAGCGUCGGUUUCGACUAUAAAGGGCUUAGAGAAAUCUGGCAUUGCCAGUACAGGGGAAGUAGUCAUGGCAUGCUUGAGAGCAAUGAAUGCGUCUUGAGCAUCUUGUGGCCAUGUGAAUUUGGCUUGGGCUUCCUUCUUGAAAGAGUGGUGAGAGGGCGAGCUAGUUGUCCAUAAUUGGCGAUAAAGCGCCUAUAAUACCCUGUAAUACCCAGAAAUCCUCGCACUGCCCUGGUAGAUUUUGGAAUGGGCCACUGUAGGAUACUUGAGACUUUGGAAGGAUCCAUAACAACUCCAUCCUUAGAGAUAAUAUGCCCCAGGUAUUCAACUGAUUUCCGGCCAAAGAAACAUUUCUUUUGAUUGAGCUGAAGUUUGGUAUCACAAAGCAGUUGGAGCACAAGCCUUAAGUGUUUCAAGUGAGAAUCCCAACUGUUACUAUACACCAAAAUAUCGUCGAAGAAGACUAGGACAAAUUUCCGGAGAUAGGGGCGAAAGGGAUCGUUCAUUACCGCUUGAAAUGUGGCUGGCGCAUUGGUUAACCCAAAUGGCAUGACAAGAAAUUCGUAAUGGCCCGAGUGUGUCCAGAAAGUUGUCUUGGGAGUAUCAGCUUCAGCCACCCUAAUUUGAUAAAACCCGGACUUAUGGUCUAGUUUAGAGAAGACCUGAGAACCAUGCAAUUCGUCCAACAGUUCCUGGAUAACAGGAAUGGGAUACUUGUGAGGAAUUGUAGAGUGGUUUAGUUGCCUGUAGUCAACGCAGAACCGCCAGCUGCCAUCCUUUUUCUUGACUAGGAGGACAGGAUUAGAAUAUGGGCUGGAGCUGGGUUUGAUAAUUCCAGCUGAAAGCAUAUCAUGCACCAACCUCUCGAUCUCAUCUUUCUGAAUGUGGCCAUACCUAUAAGGUUUCACAGAUAUUGGUCCCUGACCUGGCUGAAGGGCGAUCCUGUGAUCGGUGGAACGACGAGGAGGGAGGCCAUAGAUUUCCUGAAAAACAGAAGCAUGAGCCGCAAGAAGUUCCUGUAAUUAUUGGCUCUCAGAAUCAAAAUUCUCUACAGUGGAGACACAUGACAUUGGAGGAGGAUCUAUGGACAGUUCCAGUAGGACUGCAGAGAAAGACAUAUUUGUGACCUUAGAGAACGAUUUGGCAGAAAUCGCUCCCCGGGUUAGAGAUGGAUCACCACAUAAUUCCACCAACUGAUUUUGAUGUAGAAACUUCAUAUUAAGCCCCUGCCAAUUCACCUGCACAUCACCAAGUGUUUCCAACCAAGCAACACCCAAUAUUAUAUCAAGAUCUCUCAACGGAAAUAUAAAGAAAUCACCAGAAAUAGUGUAGGAACCCAGUUGGAAAUGUAAGUUGCUGCACACGCCGGAAGUUUUCAUGCGGUGGCCAUCACCAAGCUUGACAAGGAACGGGUCGGUGGGUUCAACUGCCAAAUUCAGUGCCUGAGCAAGAUCGGAGGACACAAAAUUGUGGCUAGCUCCGCUGUCCACCAUGACUAAUACUAAGUGAGAAGCCAGUAGACCCAUAAUCUUCAUAGUCUUGGGUUGAGAGAGGCCAUAGGCAGAACAUAAGGAAAGCUCAAGCUGCUGGAAAUGGCUUUCAUUGAAGUUUAUGGGCAGAGCUGUGAAGAUAUCUGAAUCUAAUUCGUGUAGGAGCCCUUCAUCUGUGAGAGGUUCAUCCUCUCCUCCUAUUAUUGCCCGUAGGGAUUUGUGAGGGCAUUCAUGAAGUGGAGAGUAAGGUUGUUUGCAACGAAAACAGAGCCCCUUCUCUCUUAAGUCUUGGUAUUCUUUGUGAGAAUCGGGCUUGAAUCCACGGGUUCUGGGAGAGGAAGUGGAAUUUCGGGAAGGAGCAGGGAGAAAGGGUUGGCGAGAGGUAAAAUCUGGAGGUCUGGAGGAGUGGGUUAUGGUUUGAGUAUUGGGUCGGGUCGGGUUUUGGGUGGGUGGUGGAGUUUGAAGUGGGGCGGUGAGAAAAAUUUAGGGCCCAGACCAAACUUACCUGGAGAAUCGCUACCAGAUGAUCGCAGCGUGGGUUUCUGAGUAUAUGGUGACUGCAGUUCGUUCAACCUCCAGCGCAACUCUCAUCGCGCGAUGCAGUUCCUGAGAAUCAGCGGAACGUAUUCUAACUCGGAUUUCUUCUUUUAACCCAUUUAGAAAAUAUCCCAAGAGUUAAAAAUCUGUGAGGUUUGGAGUUUGUGCGGCUUGGGUAAUGAAUUCAUCAAUGAAGGAUAAUGAAUUCAUAAAUGAAGGUGGACACCGAGUUCAAUUGUUUUGUGGCAGCAAGCAGCUCGUAGGGAUUAUCCGAAUCUGAACCACUAUAUUUGAUGAGGAGUUCGGUUUUGAGUUUAGCAAGCAGCUCGUAGGGAUUAUCCGAAUCUAAACCACUAUAUUUGAUGAGGAGUUCGGUUUUGAGUUGGGUCCAUGUGAGGUUUGGAGUGCGGCCUCUAAGCCAUCAUAACCAGUGGAGAGGAUGGUCCUUCAUUCCCACGAGAGCCAUGGCAACAAACCGGCUGGAGGGGUGUUUUGUAACUCAAAAUAUUGCUCAGAUCUUGCAAUCUAGCCGAAUGGGUCAGUUCCGGUGAAAAUGGGCAUUUGGAGUUUUUGAAUGUAGUUAUGGUUUGAAGAUGAGGAGUGUGGGUGAAGGUCGGUGGUGGUGGGUGGGGAAUGGGAAUUGAUGGUAGCAGAUUGGUCUGGGUUUUGUGGGUUGGAUGGUGGAGGAGGAGGAUGUGUGUCAGAUGAAGAAGCAGGGGAUGUACCUGUGAGAAGAAGGGGUUUAAGCUCUUGGAGACCUUGUUGAAGCUCCGGAAGCUGGCGGGAAUUAUCAAGUCUGAUAGAAGCAAUAGAGUCUUCAAUGGAGGCGAUGUUCUUCUCCAGAGUUUUCACCCUUUGAUCCAUUCUGGUCUUAGGCAUUCAGAAAAAAAUCCAAAGCAGGUCGGACCAAAUGAUAGAGAUUAGAACGCAAGAACAGUAAGGAGAAACAUAGUUGAUUGAAGGACAGAAUUUGUAGUAGUAUUAGAAGAAGAAAGUUGAAGAUAACAAUGGAGAGUGACAAAAAUGACUGUAAAACAGCCCCCAGGACUUGAGCCCGAAGUAGAUACUCUGCUCAAUACAACAAAAGAGAAUAAAGAUGCCAUGUACAUGAUUACUGCUAACAUAUAUAUAGAAUCAUUCCUAACAAACAUGCUGAGCUGUCUCAAUCCCUUCCUUGCUGCACACCGCUCCCCUUCGUUGCAGAUUUAUUCCUUCUAUAAUAAACCAAAAACGGUUUUGCACUUGAUGACGUGGCAUUCCUAUCA